UUGUUAGUGAGGUUAUUUCUAAUCUGUUCCUCCUUAUGGGGGAAAGAGACAUGAUGAAUGGAGGGGGCUGAGUGUGUGAUUACAUCAAUCUCCUGCAAAUCCCUGAAUGACAACUCAGGGUGUGUGACAUUCUGAC
Small nucleolar RNA from Hyla sarda, 136 nucleotides. RefSeq annotates it as U8 small nucleolar RNA. The transcript has a single exon. Lineage: Eukaryota; Metazoa; Chordata; Amphibia; Anura; Hylidae. The record is from RefSeq and is a predicted model, not a curated record.